GAUGAACGCUGGCGGCGUGCCUAAUACAUGCAAGUCGAGCGAACAGACGAGGAGCUUGCUCCUCUGACGUUAGCGGCGGACGGGUGAGUAACACGUGGAUAACCUACCUAUAAGACUGGGAUAACUUCGGGAAACCGGAGCUAAUAACGGAUAAUAUAUUGAACCGCAUGGUUCAAUAGUGAAAGACGGUUUUGCUGUCAAUUAUAGAUGGAUCCGCGCCGCAUUAGCUAGUUGGUAAGGUAACGGCUUACCAAGGCAACGAUGCGUAGCCGACCUGAGAGGGUGAUCGGCCACACUGGACCUGAGACACGGUCCAGACUCCUACGGGAGGCAGCAGUAGGGAAUCUUCCGCAAUGGGCGAAAGCCUGACGGAGCAACGCCGCGUGAGUGAUGAAGGUCUUCGGAUCGUAAAACUCUGUUAUUAGGGAAGAACAAAUGUGUAAGUAACUAUGCACGUCUUGACGGUACCUAAUCAGAAAGCCACGGCUAACUACGUG
This 497-nucleotide ribosomal RNA is filed under the name uncultured bacterium. Its description in RNAcentral is "partial 16S ribosomal RNA". It matches the Rfam family "Bacterial small subunit ribosomal RNA", at positions 28 to 507 of the family's 1533-position model. The record is from RNAcentral.